CAGCAGCCACGGUAAUACGUAGGGUGCAAGCGUUAAUCGGAAUUACUGGGCGUAAAGCGUGCGCAGGCGGUUUUGUAAGUCUGUCGUGAAAUCCCCGGGCUCAACCUGGGAAUGGCGAUGGAGACUGCAAGGCUAGAAUCUGGCAGAGGGGGGUAGAAUUCCACGUGUAGCAGUGAAAUGCGUUGAGAUCGGAAAGAACACCAACGGCGAAAGCACUCUGCUGGGCCGACACUGACACUGAGAGACGAAAGCUAGGGGAACAAAUGGGAUUAGAUACCCGCGUAGUCCCUGUCUCUUAUAU
This 301-nucleotide ribosomal RNA is filed under the name uncultured bacterium. RNAcentral's name for it is "partial 16S ribosomal RNA". It matches the Rfam family "Bacterial small subunit ribosomal RNA", at positions 509 to 809 of the family's 1533-position model. The record is from RNAcentral.